CCUACGGGAGGCAGCAGUGAGGAAUAUUGGUCAAUGGGCGCUAGCCUGAACCAGCAAAGUCGCGUGAAGGAUGAAUGCCCUAUUGUUUUUAAACUUCUUUUAUAUGGGAAUAAAGUUGAGGAUGUAUACUGCUUUGCAUGUACCUUAUGAAUAAGGAUCAGCUAAGUCCGUGCCAGCAGCCGCGGUAAUACGGAGGAUCAGAGCGUUAGCCGGAUUUAUUGGGGUUAAAGGGAGCGUAGGCGGGUUGUUAAGUCAGUUGUGAAAGUUUGCGGCUCAACCGUAAAAUGGCAGUUGAUACUGGCAUCUUUGAGUACAGUAGAGGGAGGCGGAGUUCGUGGUGUAGCGGUGAAAUGCUUAGAUAUCACGAAGAACUCCGAUUGCGAAGGCAGCCUGCUGGACUGUAACUGACGCUGAUGCUCGAAAGUGUGGGUAUCAAACAGGAUUAGAUACCCUAGUAGUC
This 460-nucleotide ribosomal RNA is filed under the name uncultured bacterium. RNAcentral describes it as "partial 16S ribosomal RNA". It matches the Rfam family "Bacterial small subunit ribosomal RNA", at positions 338 to 795 of the family's 1533-position model. The record is from RNAcentral.